GAUGAACGCUGGCGGCGUGCCUAAUACAUGCAAGUCGAGCGAACGGACGAGAAGCUUGCUUCUCUGAUGUUAGCGGCGGACGGGUGAGUAACACGUGGAUAACCUACCUAUAAGACUGGGAUAACUUCGGGAAACCGGAGCUAAUACCGGAUAAUAUUUUGAACCGCAUGGUUCAAAAGUGAAAGACGGUCUUGCUGUCACUUAUAGAUGGAUCCGCGCUGCAUUAGCUAGUUGGUAAGGUAACGGCUUACCAAGGCAACGAUGCAUAGCCGACCUGAGAGGGGGAUGGCCCCCAGUGAAAAGGAAACACGGUCCAGACUCGUAGGGGAGGCAGCAGGAGGGAAUCUACGGAAGGGGGGGAAAGCGUAACGGAGCACCGCGGGGGGAGUGAUGAGGGUCUUGGGAGCGUAAACCUCUGUUAUUAGGAAAAAAAAUAUGUGUAAGUAACUGUACACUUUGUGACGGUACAUAAACAGAAGCCCACGGCAAACUAGGUG
Molecule: ribosomal RNA, 497 nt
Filed under: uncultured bacterium
Lineage: Bacteria
Description: partial 16S ribosomal RNA
Rfam family: Bacterial small subunit ribosomal RNA
Source: RNAcentral